This 254-nucleotide ribosomal RNA is filed under the name uncultured bacterium. RNAcentral describes it as "partial 16S ribosomal RNA". It matches the Rfam family "Bacterial small subunit ribosomal RNA", at positions 524 to 776 of the family's 1533-position model. The record is from RNAcentral.
UACGUAGGGUGCGAGCGUUGUCCGGAAUUAUUGGGCGUAAAGAGCUCGUAGGCGGUGUGUCGCGUCGGCCGUGAAAACCUGGGGCUCAACUCUGGGCGUGCGGUCGAUACGGGCAUCACUGGAGUUCGGCAGGGGAGACUGGAAUUCCUGGUGUAGCGGUGAAAUGCGUAGAUAUCAGGAGGAACACCGGUGGCGAAGGCGGCUUUCUGGACGACAACUGACGCUGAGACGCGAAAGCGUGGGGAGCAAACAGG